Long non-coding RNA from Maylandia zebra (zebra mbuna), 168 nucleotides. RefSeq lists it as uncharacterized. The record is from RefSeq and is a predicted model, not a curated record. NCBI's taxonomy places the organism in Eukaryota, Metazoa, Chordata, Actinopteri, Cichliformes, Cichlidae.
CAGUGGUGAACCUGGAGCAACGAGAGGUCAGAGGUCACAGUCUGCAGGGUCCAGCUGUCCGUCUGUGAGGAGUGACUGGUCCAAACCUCUAAAUCCUCCAUUCUUCAGUGGUGAACCUGGAGCAACGAGAGUGGAGCAGCAGAGCUCAGAGGUUCCCAGUGGUCAGUC